Cajanus cajan (pigeon pea) is the source of this 1147-nucleotide non-coding RNA. The record is from RefSeq and is a predicted model, not a curated record. NCBI's taxonomy places the organism in Eukaryota, Viridiplantae, Streptophyta, Magnoliopsida, Fabales, Fabaceae.
UCUAAAGUGGGGACGGUUUCUCUUUCCACAGUGCUGACAAGGAGGAUGAUUUAGUUUCUCAUCAUCUCCUUUACCACCUUUGUUGGAACUUUCUCCUUGCUCAAAGUUCCUUGGAACUUUCUCCUUUGUUAGAACUUUCUCCUUGCUCAAAGUUCCAAAGUGAUAUUUGACAGAUAUUCCUUGGAAUUUUCCAAAGAGGAAAUAAUGGAUUCAAACCUCUCAAGAAGAGUCACAAGGAUUUUUUGCACUAUCCUUGUAUCGGAAAAUUCUGUCCUAAACAACUUCUCCUUGUUUACAAUGUUUAGAAGUCUGUCAGAAUAUUCUUUCACCCUUUCUAACUCCUUCAUCCGCUACAUCUCAAACUCUCUGAUCAAAUUCAGCACUUGCAUCCCUUUGACUCUCUCAUUUCCUUCAUACUCUUGGUUGAGAAAAUCCUAGAUAGCCUUAGCUGACUUUAGAGUCACAAUUUUGGUGAAGAUUGAUUGAGGAACAGCAGAAAAUAAACAAGACUUUUUGCCUUUGAUUUUCGUUGAUUUCUUUCCUUAUGAUACUUGAUUUGAUUAAGUGUUGGAUCUUCUGGUAAUUGACCAACCUCAUAAUCCUCCUCAAUAGCUUCCCAAUAAUCAUUUGCAUCAAGAAAAGCCUUCACUAUGACUGUCCAUAGAGGAAAAUGUGUGUUGGGCCAUUGAGUCGUCAUCCUAACCGCCAAAUUGAGUAUUUUGAGCCGAGAAUUGAAGGUGGUAGAAAAAUUAAAGAUGGAUACAACCAUGCAACUUGGAUGAUGGAAAUUACAACUUUUGGCAUUUGAAAUAGAUUUGAACAUCGACUUUGCUGAUAUAUACAAAAAUUCCUAACUACGUAUAGGGAAGUUGUUUUGUGGUGUUACUCAACAUUCUUAUUUAUUUAGUAAAAAUAUUUUUUCAAACUAGUGCUGAAAAAAUAGAUAUGUAUGCCAUAUGUUAGGUGGAAUGAAGCACUUGUAGCAGAAUUGAGCAAGCCUCCUUUUCAAACCAUGGAAACAACAGUGGUCCUCUUUAGUUUGGUUUGUUUUUUUGACACAUGGUGUAAUGGUGACAGUGAAUUGUUUUUUACAUCUCAAUUUGGGAUGUGACAAGCACAGUAAAACUAAAUGACAAAUAAGACAGUG